Molecule: unclassified non-coding RNA, 100 nt
Organism: Chlorocebus sabaeus (green monkey)
Lineage: Eukaryota; Metazoa; Chordata; Mammalia; Primates; Cercopithecidae
Rfam family: Y RNA
About the family: Y RNAs are components of the Ro ribonucleoprotein particle (Ro RNP), in association with Ro60 and La proteins. The Y RNAs and Ro60 and La proteins are well conserved, but the function of the Ro RNP is not known. In humans the RNA component can be one of four small RNAs -- hY1, hY3, hY4 and hY5.
Source: Ensembl
GGUCUGAAGGUAGUGAGUUAUUUAAUUUGUUCACAGUGAGUUAUAGAUUGAUCUCCUUGUUCUGCUCUUUCCCCGCUUCUCACUACUGCACUAAUCUUAA